CUGCAAAACAUCAAACAGUGAUAUUUCUUUGUCAUGGUAAAAUCCUUCAGCUUCUCCUUUCAGCCUCAGGGGUUUGACAUGUGCCACCGUGUUGACCUGAAAUGGGUAUAACCCGCACAUCAGAACGUUUACUUACAGUACCAUCCAGUGCCAGUGGAAUAAAUGAACAGUGAAAAACAUUUACAUUUGUACGUAACAGGUUUAGUCACGCAUCAUUUUAGUGCCAGAUGUGUUUGAGUGCUACAUGUGGAACUUGUGAUGAGUUAUUUCCUGCCAUUUGGUCCAAGAUGCAGAUGUGCAUAGGCGUGCAUAACAACAGAUGCAGUAUGUGGAGGUGAAUGUUAUUCA
Molecule: long non-coding RNA, 348 nt
Organism: Thalassophryne amazonica
Lineage: Eukaryota; Metazoa; Chordata; Actinopteri; Batrachoidiformes; Batrachoididae
Exons: 3
Source: RefSeq, a predicted model, not a curated record